GACGAACGCUGGCGGCGUGCUUAACACAUGCAAGUCAGGGGGCGGGGUAACCCGUCACCGGCGAUCGGGUGCGGAACACGUGAGCGACCUGCCCUGGGGUGGGGGACAGCCGGCCCAACGGCCGGGUAAUACCGCAUACGGCGCCCGCUUGGAAUCGGGAGGCGAAACUCGCUAGAGGCGCUAGGAGGGGCUCGCGGCCUGUUAGCUAGUUGGUGGGGUAGCGGGGCAACAAGGCUAUGACGGGGAGAUGGUCUGAGAGGACGGCCAGGCACAUAGGGACGGACAGACGGCCCAGGCGAGUACGGGGGGGAGCAGUGGGGAAUAUUGGGCAAUGGGCGAAAGCGUGACGCAGCGACGGCGAGUGGGGGAUGAGGCCCGUCGGGGUGUAUACUCCGGGUGGCCGGGACGUAUGCGCCACAGCGGCGAGGUUGACGGUACCGGGUGAGAAAGCACCGGCUAACUACGUG
RNAcentral lists this ribosomal RNA (467 nucleotides) under uncultured bacterium. Its description in RNAcentral is "partial 16S ribosomal RNA". It matches the Rfam family "Bacterial small subunit ribosomal RNA", at positions 28 to 507 of the family's 1533-position model. The record is from RNAcentral.